Molecule: ribosomal RNA, 370 nt
Filed under: uncultured alga
Lineage: Eukaryota
Description: bacterial LSU rRNA
Rfam family: Bacterial large subunit ribosomal RNA
Source: RNAcentral
GCUUGACUGUAUCUUGGAAUUGGGUUCGGGCUUUUCUUGCGCAGACUAGGUGGGAGGCUAUGAAGAUUUUCUUCUGGGAAAGUUGGAGCCAACAGUGAGAGACCACUCUGGAAAGGCUAGGAAUCCUAAUGGUGAUCCUUGAAUCAGGACACUUGACAGUUUCAGGUGGGCAGUUUUUCUGGGGCGGAAGCCUCGUAAAAGGUAACUGAGGCGCGCAAAGGUCCCCUCAGUCUGGACGGAAAUCAGACAUUGAGUGUAAAGGCAAAAGGGGGCUUGACUGCAAGACCCACAAGUCGAGCAGGGGCGAAAGCUGGCCUUAGUGAUCCGACGGUGCCGUGUGGAAGGACCGUCGCUCAACGAAUAAAAGUUA